This 468-nucleotide ribosomal RNA is filed under the name uncultured bacterium. Its description in RNAcentral is "partial 16S ribosomal RNA". It matches the Rfam family "Bacterial small subunit ribosomal RNA", at positions 28 to 507 of the family's 1533-position model. The record is from RNAcentral.
GACGAACGCUGGCGGCGUGCUUAACACAUGCAAGUCGAACGGAAAGGCCCUGCUUUUGUGGGGUGCUCGAGUGGCGAACGGGUGAGUAACACGUGAGUAACCUGCCCUUGCCUUUGGGAUAACUUCAGGCAACUGGGGCUAAUACCGGAUAGGAGCUCCUGCUGCAUGGUGGGGGUUGGAAAGUUUCGGCGGUUGGGGAUGGACUGGCGGCCUAUCGGCUUGUUGGUGGGGUAGUGGAUUACCAAGGCUUUGACGGGUAGCCGGGCUGGGAGGGGAACCGGCCACGCUGGGCCUGGGAUGCGGCACAGACUCCAACGGGAGGCAGCAGUGCGGAAGAUUGCACUAGGGGCGGAGGCAUGGUGCAGCAAAGCCGCGUGCGGGAUGACGGCCAGCGGGUUGUAUUCCGCUUUCGCCUGUGACGAAGCGAGAGUGACGGUACUGGGUAAAGAAGCACCGGCUAACUACGUG